Oncorhynchus tshawytscha (Chinook salmon) is the source of this 336-nucleotide long non-coding RNA. Lineage: Eukaryota; Metazoa; Chordata; Actinopteri; Salmoniformes; Salmonidae. The record is from Ensembl.
GGUGAGGGAUCAGAGGAGAACCCUGACUAAAACACCCGAGGGAAGAGACAGGUGAGGGAGGGAGCAGAGGAGAACCCUGACUAAAACACCAGAGUGAAGAGACGGGUGAGGGAGCAGAGGAGAACCCCGACUAAAACACCCGAGGGAAGAGACAGGUGAGGGAGCAGAGGAGAACCCUGACUAAAACACCAGAGGGAAGAGAGGUGAGGGAGCAGAGGAGAACCCCGACUAAAACACCCGAGGGAGACAGAGAGAGAGACAGAGAGAGAGAGACAGACAGAGAGAGAGAGACAGAGAGAGAGUGCGCGGGCACUAGAAAAUUCUGCAGCACCCGGC